RNAcentral lists this small RNA (552 nucleotides) under Pongo abelii (Sumatran orangutan). Its description in RNAcentral is "processed transcript". Lineage: Eukaryota; Metazoa; Chordata; Mammalia; Primates; Hominidae. The record is from RNAcentral.
AGGUGAGCCCCAGGUCCAGGGCUCCAGCAACCAUGGAGCCCCGUGCAGACUGAAGGUCCUCUGAAAUGCUCACUCAUUAAAUAAUGAUGAUCGACAGUGACUGCAAGUGCAACAAAGAUUCAAUACAGCUCCAAGGAAGGAGCCAAGAAAAACAUUCUGUGUCAAAGUGAGACCCUGGAAGUGAAACCCUGGAACAAAGCCGAAAAACGGGCUCCAGCUGGGUGCCAGCAAACGCAGGACUGGAAUGUGACUUCCGGCAGCGCGCAGGUGCUCCUGGGUCACCUGCUUUGAGGUCCAGCCUCCUGCCCUGCCCCGGGUGACCACAUGACCACUGUGGACUUUGCCCUGACACCUUCUGGGAGGAGAAGAGGCCUGACCUUGGUGCUGGGGUCCAGUGGGCAUUGCCCUGGUCCAAGGCUGCUGCCCUUGACCUCUGCUCUGCGGCUGUUUUCCGUUGGAGCAGUGGCUCCUCCUGUUCUGUCCUGCCUGUGGAGGGAAGCAAACCUUCCCCUGGACCAGAGAGAGGAGAAAGCGGAGACAGGUAGCAACGCU